RNAcentral lists this ribosomal RNA (499 nucleotides) under Salmonella enterica. RNAcentral describes it as "partial 23S ribosomal RNA". It matches the Rfam family "Bacterial large subunit ribosomal RNA", at positions 774 to 1270 of the family's 2925-position model. The record is from RNAcentral. Lineage: Bacteria; Pseudomonadati; Pseudomonadota; Gammaproteobacteria; Enterobacterales; Enterobacteriaceae. RNAcentral also lists the same sequence under 1 other name.
CCGAACCGACUAAUGUUGAAAAAUUAGCGGAUGACCUGUGGCUGGGGGUGAAAGGCCAAUCAAACCGGGAGAUAGCUGGUUCUCCCCGAAAGCUAUUUAGGUAGCGCCUCGUGAAUUCAUCUCCGGGGGUAGAGCACUGUUUCGGCUAGGGGGCCAUCCCGGCUUACCAACCCGAUGCAAACUGCGAAUACCGGAGAAUGUUAUCACGGGAGACACACGGCGGGUGCUAACGUCCGUCGUGAAGAGGGAAACAACCCAGACCGCCAGCUAAGGUCCCAAAGUCAUGGUUAAGUGGGAAACGAUGUGGGAAGGCCCAGACAGCCAGGAUGUUGGCUUAGAAGCAGCCAUCAUUUAAAGAAAGCGUAAUAGCUCACUGGUCGAGUCGGCCUGCGCGGAAGAUGUAACGGGGCUAAACCAUGCACCGAAGCUGCGGCAGCGACACUGUGUGUUGUUGGGUAGGGGAGCGUUCUGUAAGCCUGUGAAGGUGUGUCGUGAGGCA